UAAUUGAAUAAUUUAAGGAUUUCCCUUUCCUAUUUGAUAUUGAUUAGCUCACCAAUCCAUAUGUAACGUAACUCUAUUCGCUUUUCUGAUUGGUAUAGAAAAUAAUAGAAUUAGGAAAUCCUCUAUUUACUAUUCACUGAAUAAUAACUUUUUUGUUGACAAAAGAAUAAAGAUCAUUUCUAUUCCAAGGUGGGGAGUUUUAUUUUCCCCAUCGACCUA
RNAcentral lists this small RNA (219 nucleotides) under Solanum caripense (tzimbalo). Its description in RNAcentral is "SprA". The record is from RNAcentral. Lineage: Eukaryota; Viridiplantae; Streptophyta; Magnoliopsida; Solanales; Solanaceae.